AGCUUCCCGGCUGCUUUGUUUACCUAAUCAAGCCUGGGCAAUGGCGGGCUCCCCUCCCCCAGCCUCGCUGCUGCCUUGCAGUUUGAUCUCAGACUGCUGUGCUAGCAAUCAGCGAGACUCCGUGGGCGUAGGACCCUCCGAGCCAGGUGUGGGAUAUAGUCUCGUGGUGCGCCGUUUUUUAAGCCCGUCGGAAAAGCGCAGUAUUCGGGUGGGAGUGACCCGAUUUUCCAGGUGCGUCCGUCACCCCUUUCUUUGACUCGGAAAGGGAACUCCCUGACCCCUUGCGCUUCCCAAGUGAGGCAAUGCCUCGCCCUGCUUCGGCUCGCGCACGGUGCGCGCACCCACUGACCUGCGCCCACUGUCUGGCACUCCCUAGAGAGAUGAACCCGGUACCUCAGAUGGAAAUGCAGAAAUCACCGUCUUCUGCGUCGCUCACGCUGGGAGCUGUAGACCAGAGCUGUUCCUAUUCGGCCAUCUUGGCUCCUUAUUCUCAUUACCUUCUUGAGUUGUGGCUCAGACACUACAACAGAGCUCUGUCACCUCUUUCUAAAAGCUGGGAAAUGGUUAUUGUCAACGCCAGCCCCAUUUUGGAGGCACCUGGUUGCAGGGGACCACAGCUAGCUGGGUGCGGUGGCUCAGGACUGUAAUUCCAGCUACAUGAGAGGAUUGCCUGAGGCCAGGAGUUUGAGACCAGCCUGAACAACAUAAUAGACUGGGAGCUCCAUGAGGUCCGAGACAACCUGAAGACGCCCAGCUCAGCAGAGACUGGCUACGGCAAUCACUCAGUAACUAUUUGUUGAAUUGGACAUAAUAGAAGAGCUGAAGAAUUUUAAACAAGUCACCAUCAGUGCAGUGGAUUCCUCAAAGCAAACCUGGAAAUCUCGGCAUGAGUUGGAUUUAAGGCAGUACAUUUUCAGCUCCUGAAAAUUUGAACAGUUUCUCAAGAGAACAACUUGAAACAGAAAGGCAAGGAUGUAGAUGUGGUUGUAGAAGAUGAUGUCUGCGGCCACCAAACUGUCCACUGUGAAGACAAACCAUGCAUGUUUAGUAGGCAGUGGCUCCUCUUCCCUGUGGGGAGUCCCACUGCUUCCCUGGCCUGGGUGUUCUCUGCCGGUAGAUGUUAUUGACAAAAUAAGCAAAGUCCUCUGAUUCUGAGAAUUAGAGUUAAUGAUAGCUCUAGAUUGCCUCUGCCAUGCUAUUUAAAGUCCUGCUUUAUUGUCUGACAUGAGUUCGGCAUCUAUGAGGACUUGUCCAGUGCAAAGUACAAUCUCCACUGAAAGAUAUCACCAGCACAUCUUGUCACUGUGCUGUAGCAAGCUGGGCAGUACAAUGAUGUUGGCAGGAUCCUGUUUAGGUGGAGGAUGGCCACCUGGGCAUCAAGAAUCUUCUACCCUGAUUCCACAUUGACUCCCCAAAGUGGGCUUCAGACAGCUCUUUACUUACGUCUUCUGAUUAAAGCAGCAGACAGGGUCCCAGCUAGAGAAAAGUUCUGGGAGCAGGAGAGGUGUUGGUGGCUUUAAAACCAGGGGUGAAGAUUGAAUUAGGAGGUUAGGCAGGAGUAGGAUCAAAGACUUAGAAAAUGCUUGUUUCCUCCUAUUAUUCUUAUGAGAGCUGAUACGGGGCUUUCAGUUUUGGGGGAGAGCCUUGGAAGAGAAUGAGGGAAUUUAAUCAACUAGCGGGACCUUUCCAACUUACAUUUCCCAGUGUUUGUUGGAUGAUACGUUUGCCUAAUAAGUUAAAGCUUCCAAAAAUAGAAAGGAAAGCUUGGUGACACUAAGCUCUGGCAUGCUGUCAUCUUCUGGCUAGGGGUCUUGUGCUUCUGUUUUUCUAUUUCUGACCAAAGACAUAAAAUGUGUUGUGACCUCUCAGGUAAUGCUGUGGUAUCAUGUCCAAGCAGUAACUAACCAGAGUGGAGUUUUUACAGGUAAAAAAGUAUUGAAUAGCUCAGCAACAGGGAGGACUUAAUGAUAAAUUGCUUUUUCAGAAAAUGACAAGGGGACAGACACUUGCGGUUCUUCCAUUGAGAGCCUUAAGGAAGUUAAGCGAAGCCUCUGCUCACCCCUUCAAGUAACGAUGACCCAUCAGAUCGUGGUCAUAACCAGUAGCAUCUGAGGCACCCCUAAGCUCUCUGGGCCCCAGAUUCCUUGUUAAGUUAAAUGAGGUGACUUCCCAGUUUACCAUUCUAGGGGUUCCUGAGGAGUUAAAAAUGAAGGAGAAAAUGCAACAUGUACCAAGUGAGCAAGAGCUCAAGGCUUAUCUCUGGCACGAAAGUGACCGCUGUCCGUUAGAGAUGUGAUUGCCCUAGAUUUCCUUUAGGAAAUGCAAACAUUGAACUCUGGCCUUCAGGACCCAAGUCCCGGCUUGCAUCUAUUCUAUACACUUUCUGUUAUUUGUUAGGGCUCACAAGGAACAGUUAUUUAUCUUUUAUUUUCUAUUUUUUUUUUAGAGAUGGAGUCUCACUCUGUCUCCCAGGCUGGAGUGCAGUGGUGCCAUCUCAGCUCACUGCAACCUCCACCUCCCGGGUUCAAGCAAUUCUCCUGUCUCAGCCUCCUGAGUAGCUGGGACUACAGGCGUGUGCCAUCAUGCCCGGCUAAUUUUUAGUAUUUUUAGUAGAGGCAGGGUUUCACCAUAUUGGCCAGGCUGGUCUUGAACUCCUG
This 2657-nucleotide long non-coding RNA is filed under the name Homo sapiens (human). RNAcentral's name for it is "long independently transcribed non-coding RNA 649 (LINC00649)". The record is from RNAcentral. Lineage: Eukaryota; Metazoa; Chordata; Mammalia; Primates; Hominidae.